RNAcentral lists this unclassified non-coding RNA (268 nucleotides) under fungal sp. Its description in RNAcentral is "partial internal transcribed spacer region". The stretch from base 1 to 46 matches the Rfam family "Eukaryotic small subunit ribosomal RNA", at positions 1786 to 1831 of the family's 1831-position model. The record is from RNAcentral. Lineage: Eukaryota; Fungi.
AAGUCGUAACAAGGUUUCCGUAGGUGAACCUGCGGAAGGAUCAUUAAAGUAUCUUCCUCGGGGUGCGAGGGUGGCCUGGCUCCGGCAAAUUGCCGUGCAGCGGGUCCCCUCCCCUCGAACACUACAAACCCACUGUGCACCUUUCGCGGUGGAGGGUGCGGUGCAAGCCCACCCGAAGCCGCGGUCUCACAGACUCGUCUCAGAAUGUCUUGCGGACUCGUUCCGCCCAUAAAUGUAACAACUUUCAACAACGGAUCUCUUGGCUCUC